Ictidomys tridecemlineatus (thirteen-lined ground squirrel) is the source of this 73-nucleotide non-coding RNA. The record is from Rfam. NCBI's taxonomy places the organism in Eukaryota, Metazoa, Chordata, Mammalia, Rodentia, Sciuridae.
AGGGAUAUAGCUCAGUUGGUAGAGUGCUUGUCUCAUAUGCACAAGGCCAUGGGUUCAAUCCCCAAUAUCACAA